RNAcentral lists this ribosomal RNA (1466 nucleotides) under human gut metagenome. Its description in RNAcentral is "bacterial LSU rRNA". It matches the Rfam family "Bacterial large subunit ribosomal RNA", at positions 980 to 2472 of the family's 2925-position model. The record is from RNAcentral.
GGAGUCAGACAGUGUGAGAUAAGUUUCAUUGUCGAAAGGGAAACAGCCCAGAUCUACGACUAAGGUCCCAAAGUUCAAGUUAAGUGGAAAAGGAUGUGCAAUUGCGUAGACAACCAGGAUGUUGGCUUAGUAGCAGCCAUUCAUUCAAAGAGUGCGUAAUAGCUCACUGGUCGAGUGAUUGUGCGCCGAAAAUGUAACGGGGCUAAACUUGACACCGAAGUCUAGGCAGAAGGAAACUUCUGGGUAGGGGAGCAACGUGUACGGGCAGAAGCAGAAGCGGAAGCGACUGUGGACUGUACAGGAGAGAGAAUGCCGGCAUGAGUAGCGAGAGCAAAGUGAGAAUCUUUGCCGUCGAAAGCCUAAGGUUUCCUGAGGAAGGCUCGUCCUCUCAGGGUAAGUCGGGACCUAAGCCGAGGACAAUAGUCGUAGGCGAUGGACAAUCGGUUAAUAUUCCGAUACCGCCGAGCAACCGGAUGCAGUGACACAGAAGGAUAGGCAGAGCGUGGCGAUGGUAGACCACGUCCAAGCAGUGAGGCUGUUGUGUAGUGAAGUACGCACAACGGAAGGCUGGGCUGUGAUGGGGAACGAUUACGAUCGGUAAGCUGCUGAAUUCACGCUGGCGAGAAAAGCUGCUACGAAGCGAAGGCGCCCGUACCGCAAACCGACACAGGUAGGCGAGGAGAGAAUCCUAAGACGAGCGGGAGAACCCUUGUUAAGGAACUCGGCAAAAUGACUCCGUAACUUAGGGAGAAGGAGUGCCCAGGAAUGGGCCGCAGAGAAUAGACCCAAGCGACUGUUUACCAAAAACACAGGUCUGUGCGAAGUAGAGAUACGACGUAUACGGGCUGACACCUGCCCAGUGCCGGAAGGUUAAGGGGAAAUGUUAGGGCAACCGAAGCAUGGAACUUAAGCCCCGGUGAACGGCGGCCGUAACUAUAACGGUCCUAAGGUAGCGAAAUUCCUUGUCGGGUAAGUUCCGACCCGCACGAAUGGUGUAACGAUUUGGGUACUGUCUCAACAAGGGACCCGGCGAAAUUGUAGUAUGUGUGAAGAUGCACAUUACCCGCGAUAGGACGGAAAGACCCCGUAGAGCUUUACUGUAGUUUAACAUUGGAUUCCGGUAACAUAUGCACAGGAUAGGUGGGAGGCGGAGAAGCAGUGAUUUCGGUUGCUGCAGAGCCGACGUUGGGAUACCACUCUUGUGUUACUGGGGUUCUAACCUGUGGCCGUGAUCCGGCACAGGAACAGUGUUAGAUGGGCAGUUUGACUGGGGCGGUCGCCUCCAAAAGAGUAACGGAGGCGUCCAAAGGUUCCCUCAGAAUGGUUGGAAACCAUUCGAAGAGUACAAAGGCAGAAGGGAGCCUGACUGCGAGACCGACAGGUCGAGCAGGGACGAAAGUCGGGCUUAGUGAUCCGGCGGUAUAGAGUGGAAUUGCCGUCGCUCAACGGAUAAAAGCUACCUCGGG